AAGGGUAAAGUGGUAUAUCCUUUAUUUAUCAGCAUUGGUUCAUUGAAAAUGUAGCUAACAUCACAUCUGAAAAUCUAGAAACUUUCCAGAGGACUCAGAGAAAACUCAUGCUAAACAAGGUCAGAGGACUGUUAAGAACAUCCAGUACCACGCAUGAAAGGUGAACAGGGAGGACUCGAGUCCCAGGCAAGCCCAAGAGUCCUGCAAGGUGCUCAAGGCCAUCGCUUUGGCUGACAGUUUCAAAGGCUGGUGAUAAAUGAAACAGAGGUAAUGAAAGGACACUGUUCUUGGGCUGAACUGUUCUUCAGCCUAAAACCCUCAGAAACAGGUAAGAUGGCCCACAUCACGGUUAAGUGAUGAGCUCAGGACUGUUUUCAUUUAAGAUAAUCAGUUUGAAACUGGCUGAUGUUGGUAGUGACUGAGUACUGAUACUUCUGACAGCUCCAAGUUUUUCCAGAUUGGCUCACAGUCCAUUUUGUCCAUCAGUACAGAUGCAUUUCUCACAAGUUACCAGAGCAAAAUUCAUUAAGCAACAUUCUGCCAGCAGUUGCACGUAAGUGGCCAAGAGCAGAAGCUACAUAUUAUCUGAAUAACUUACUCCCGUAUGCCGUACAUGUGAAAUAUUUUUCAGCACAACUUUCAUUCACAACUUUCAUUCACAACUACCAUUCUACUGUGGCAGAAGGCAGCACAACGGGAUCACCAUUUCCAAAAUACGUGUCAGUGAACCUUGUCUGUUAUGAGCAGGAGGGCUGACAUACCAGUCUGUGUACAUUACAGUGAAAUGGUGUUUGUUGAGAUAGUAGCAGAGAUAGAAGCUCUAUGAACAUUUGAGGGAUUCUAAAAAAAUGUCAUUGUCAUUAAUAGAAUGACAAUAAAAAUCUCAGUGUCUGCAUGAACAGAUUAUCUAGCCAGAUAAGAAGUAUUCUUUAGGUAAAACUUGCAUUUUAGUUAGAUAUAUUUUUCUCUUUUAAACUUGUAUUUAAUCUAAAUUAACUAAAAAAAAAAGGAAAAAUGUUUUUAACUAAAAACCCUAAAAAUUCCUUAAUUAAAAACUGAGAGGUAUUUUGACUAUUGAAAAAAAUCUAACAAUUCCCUAUGUUGGGAGAUUUAUCAAAAUUGAUUCUGGACAUUAAUUUCUGAUUUCAAUUAGUAGUAAUUUAAGGCAUAAAAAAAUCAACUGUCUGUCAAACUAUUCCCAGCUCAGUAUAGAUAUCAGCAUAUAUAUAUGAACAUUUUGUUGUCCUUCCAAAUUACAGUUGAAGUAUAUCUGCAAGCUAUUGCAAAUGACUAUAAUAAUAACAGAAUGAAGUACAGAUGAUUUGUUUCAAGGCAAACAUGCUGCAGAUUUAGGAGUCCUAUACCCUAAAGGAGCCCUAGGUUUAGUUUUCAGAACACAGCAUUCUAAAAACUAGUGACUUCAUUAGACCAAUAACCACUUUUUUUUUUUUCCCAGAAUAUAACUAUAUAGUUUGCCAGUAGCAUUCUUUCUUGCAGAGCCCCAGGACCUACACAGCCACAGCAAUACUCCCACUCUCAGCAUACUGGAGGGGCAGCCACAUUUCCUUCAUGUCUGUGGUGAAAGGUAUCUUACAAUAUCAUCGCUGUGGUCCAAAAAAGCCCAGGAGUUGCUCUGAUACACCGAGUUUGAGUCUUUUGCCUGUAAAAGAGCACUGCUGCGCUUUAAGACACAGAUGUUGACAAUAUCCUGAAACUUGAAUUGCCUAAAUCAAAGCCAGACUGCUGAUAAAGCUAGCACAGAACCAGCAAAAGCGAAUUGAGUAUUAGGGGAAAUUUGAGAGGCUGAUAUUUCUGCAUCUAGAUUCCAUUCAGCUCUGAAGCCUAAAAAGAGUCAUCAAAAUUCCCAGGGCUAAGAUCAAAGAAAUCCUAUUGAUACAUAUCCCAUGGAUUUGAAAGCAGAAGCUACUACCCAGAUAACAGGGUCUUUGCCUCCAGGACAGCUAAGCAUUCCAAGCCAUUCACUCAUUGCUUCACCUGCAAUGGCUUCCAUUUCAGCACACAGAACAUCUGACACGUAAAGAAGCAACUAUCCAGGAAGAAUAAAUGUCAGCUGGUCAUGUUCCUACUACCCUAACAGACUGAGAAAGGAAUUGCACAGAAACGCACCAGAUAGAAGAACCCAAGAACGCUUCAGACGAGGAGGCUGGCAAGGACAGUAAACUUAGGCCACCAAGUGAAUCAAAAGAGGAAAACACAGGUAAAGUGGUAAAAGCAUGUGUUCUUUCCUAAACUAAGCUCAGUGACUAAGGCAAGGAAUAUAUUGUAAAUGGGGUAAAACACAACAGUCCUUUCAGUAGCAGAAUGGAGAAUGAUACAAAUGUGCUUCCUGUGGACCCAAAAUCCAUUGAAAGUGUCACUAAAACAGACAAACAAACAAAAAAUACCCACAAACCAACAAACAAACCUGUAUGGAAAGGCUGAAAAGGUACAAAUGUAGGAUUCUCCCAGUAAUGUCUGCUGUCUUGCAUUUGUGACAUUCUCAUAUCCUUGAUGUGAAUAAGCAUGAAAACAAAAGAAAAAAAAAAAGAAAUAUAUAGCCCUGGAAACAUCAAUUAUAUAACCACAUGUACAGCUGACAAAAAAAAAAAAAAAAACCACCCUUGACAGAAACAGACAUUUUCCAAUGAAAAUCUUCAGUUUAUACCAAAGCCAUUUUUAUCAUCAAUAACAACAAAAUUUCAACAAGAUGUUGUGAACAGCUCAUUUUGUCUUAGUUAAUCUUCACCUUUUCACACACCCAGGAACAGCCAGGAAUGCAUGGCAAUGAGAACUGAAGUUACAAUGUUACCAUCUGUGCCAGAAAAAAUUUUGGGGGAAUGUAUUACCAGAAAUGCAAUAGGUGUAAAUUACUUGCAAGCUUAUAAUUUGUCUGUAAUAUUUCAUAAUUUUAAGAUUAAAAGCAUGUACCUAAAAAAAAAACAAACUAUGCAUGUACUGCCUAAAUGGCACAUACGCACAUAAAUAGUUCUUGCUUCUCCUGUCUUACUCAUCCUGUUAAUACUUUUGAAGUUAGAAAAUAUACAAAGAGUAACAAUGCAAUAAAACUAAGCAUUGUAUUUACAAAAGAAUAGCAUGUCUAUAGUUUUUGCAAAUCAAUGACUUUCUUAUAAGGAAAAGUGUCUUUUUCCUACAUAAUGUGUCUUUUUAUCUCAAAAGAGAUACUCAUUACUUCUAUGGCAUAAAUGACUUGAAAACACAACUAGAUCCCUGGACUACAAUUUUAAGGUCACUGGCAUAAAACAUUUCUUCCAUCUUCCUAACAGUAAUUUUCUGAAAGCUAUUACUAAAAUGAGAACAAUUAUAUACAGUUUUAAAGCAUUGUAUGUAAGAAAACUGCUUAUCAGUGUCUAGAGACUGUCUUACAUAAAAUUCGUGGAUCCCCAUGUUGCCUCUGAAUGAUGGGUUUCACCUUUGGAUCUUUGAUUUAGCUGACAGAUGUGCAUAAUCUCAAACCAUUGGUUAGCUCCCUUGUAGCUAAACAGCUCUUCAGAUACAUGUGCCAAAACUAUUCCAGCUGAGGGAGCAAAUCCAGUUCACUAAAUCCAGAUCUGGAUGUUUCAAGUAGCGGCUUAGUGAGGAUGAAAACUCUUCCUCAAGCCCAACUUUAUUGCUCUUGCUUGAUCCAGAAUUCAGUUCUCUUUUGUUCCCGGGGUCACCAAUGUCACAAAUGUUUGAGUUCAGGCUUACAAUUCUGAGGGCUUUGUUUAUCAGAAUCAAAAACAGAGUUUAGCCCAUAAUAUUUACCUUUUAUUCUUGGAAGAACUGUUAGGCUAGAUAAAUAACAAUUUUGAAGUAAUAUAAUCAAUGAAGUACAACAGAGUAAAUGAUGCAAAGCAACGAUUAUGUGGAAGAGCCACACAGUGAGAAAUGACAAGGUACUUUGUUCUAUGACAAUCAGAUUAUAAUAACUCUGAUGAUUGUAAAGGUUUAUUUUGUUCCUUGCUCAGGUUCACAUUUCAGAAACAUAAACUCACAUAGAAGACUGUUUGUGCAUGAAAGAAAAUUUUGUACAUGAUUAUGCUCACAUCAAAAAAUAAUUAACAUCAAGCACUCCCCUUGUCAGAUAUUGAAGUGCUGCUUAAAAUUAGUACUCAGAAACAGAGAAAAAGCUUCUUUUUUUGAGGCAAUGAAUUUUACAUUAAAUCUAAGAAAACUAAUGAUUAUAAAUAAGCAGAAGUUCAGUUAUUACACAAAGGCUUGAUCUCCACUAUUGAGGACUGAAUUAAUAUUCAGAGCAACAGUUUAAGUCUCUCAAUAGGUGACUAGGCUUAUGCUCAAACUUCUUUUGGUUUUGGUAAAGACUUCUAGUGCUGGCAUGCAACAAGCAUGAUCCAAACAUGGUACAGAUGCAUGGAACGAAACGCAUUCAGUUCAUCAGCUCCUUUGCCCCACAGACAGAAGACCCUUCCCAGUGGUAGGCGCAACCACUUGCUUCUGGGGCAGCAGCCGUAGCACAGGUUUUGGUUGAGGGCAUCAGUGUGUGGCCUGGCCCCACUCCACUCUCCCCUUGCAGACACAGCCUGGCUUCCUCCCACUGGAAACCACUCUUCCUGAGCUGGUAUGUGCCUGCAAAGACUGUGAUUCCCAGGAAUGAUACCAUGUUUGCCACCUUCAGAUUCAGUUGCAACAUCCGUCUUCUUGCAGUUUAGUUCCCCAGAAUCAUGGCACAGUGAUCUUACAGAUAUGUGUAUGAUCUAGUUUCGGGAGUGCGCGGGUAGCCCAAAGGUCUCUGCGGCGCUCCUUUCCUUUGCGGAAUACUAUCUUGCAUCCGAGGCAGUUCCCAGUCUAUAUUUGAUGUUACCAUUUAUGCUAUCUCAAACACGAGGCUCUCCCAUAGACAUUUUUUCCAGGGUUUUCAAGCAAAUUUCUCUGUGCCACAAUGUUAUGAUGGAAGGAUGCUGAAAUGACAGGCCUCGUAGACGCUUGUCUUAAUCAUCGGCUUCUUAAUUUAGUUUUAGUGCUGUGGUUUUGUGUGUGUGUGCGUGUGUGUCUGCGCGUGUGUGC
Long non-coding RNA from Strigops habroptila (Kakapo), 5025 nucleotides. Lineage: Eukaryota; Metazoa; Chordata; Aves; Psittaciformes; Psittacidae. The record is from Ensembl.